RNAcentral lists this transfer RNA (77 nucleotides) under Acidobacteriota bacterium. Its description in RNAcentral is "Acidobacteria bacterium tRNA-Arg". It matches the Rfam family "tRNA". From Rfam's summary of the family: Transfer RNA (tRNA) molecules are approximately 80 nucleotides in length. Their secondary structure includes four short double-helical elements and three loops (D, anti-codon, and T loops). Further hydrogen bonds mediate the characteristic L-shaped molecular structure. tRNAs have two regions of fundamental functional importance: the anti-codon, which is responsible for specific mRNA codon recognition, and the 3' end, to which the tRNAs corresponding amino acid is attached (by aminoacyl-tRNA synthetases). tRNAs cope with the degeneracy of the genetic code in two manners: having more than one tRNA (with a specific anti-codon) for a particular amino acid; and 'wobble' base-pairing, i.e. permitting non-standard base-pairing at the 3rd anti-codon position. Lineage: Bacteria; Pseudomonadati; Acidobacteriota. The record is from RNAcentral.
GCGCCCGUAGCUCAGUUGGAUAGAGCACCGGCCUUCUAAGCCGGGGGUCCCGAGUUCGAAUCUCGGCGGGCGCGCCA